Ananas comosus (pineapple) is the source of this 431-nucleotide long non-coding RNA. RefSeq lists it as uncharacterized. The transcript is spliced from 2 exons. The record is from RefSeq and is a predicted model, not a curated record. Lineage: Eukaryota; Viridiplantae; Streptophyta; Magnoliopsida; Poales; Bromeliaceae.
AUAUAACGCAGUCGAGGGCUCGAGGCACAACCCGCCCCCCAAAACCCUUGGCUCCAUCUUUCCCGAUCGUUCUUUCCUUUUGUUUAAUCCCGUGUAAAAGAGAUCAAUUCUACGGUCUUCUUGCUGAUGGUUCAUUAUGAUAUUGCGCAGUAGAUCAAACAGAAGCACUUACAGAUAGGUCCGCUGCGACGUUUUGUAUUCAUAGGAAAAAAAACAUGUCUUGUAACAUUCUUUACGUUUUAAACAGAUCAAUAUCUUAUUCUUCGUACAAUGACCUUUUAAGGUUCAUGAUGUUCUUUUAGUCCUUGACAAUAACACAAUCUGUAAAGUCUCUGACGAAUUUUAUCAACAUUUCUCAGAUUAUGGAAACUCUCUUUUCACAGUGUGUUUUUUGUGUCAAAUUAUUAAUAUAUUCAAGAGUUGGAUAAACA